GACGAACGCUGGCGGCGUGCCUAAUACAUGCAAGUAGAACGCUGAAGGAGGAGCUUGCUUCUCUGGAUGAGUUGCGAACGGGUGAGUAACGCGUAGGUAACCUGCCUGGUAGCGGGGGAUAACUAUUGGAAACGAUAGCUAAUACCGCAUAAUAGUAGAUGUUGCAUGACAUUUGCUUAAAAGGUGCAAUUGCAUCACUACCAGAUGGACCUGCGUUGUAUUAGCUAGUUGGUGAGGUAACGGCUCACCAAGGCAACGAUACAUAGCCGACCUGAGAGGGUGAUCGGCCACACUGGGACUGAGACACGGCCCAGACUCCUACGGGAGGCAGCAGUAGGGAAGCUUCGGCAAUGGACGGAAGUCUGACCGAGCAACGCCGCGUGAGUGAAGAAGGGUUUCGGAUCGUAAAGCUCUGUUGUAAGAGAAGAACGAGUGUGAGAGUGGAAAGUUCACACUGUGACGGUAUCUUACCAGAAAGGGACGGCUAACUACGUG
RNAcentral lists this ribosomal RNA (495 nucleotides) under uncultured bacterium. Its description in RNAcentral is "partial 16S ribosomal RNA". It matches the Rfam family "Bacterial small subunit ribosomal RNA", at positions 28 to 507 of the family's 1533-position model. The record is from RNAcentral.